GGAUAGCCGCCCGAAAGGACGGGUAAUACCGGAUACCCCGGGGUGCCGCAUGGCACCCCGGCUAAAGCCCCGACGGGAGGGGAUGGCUCCGCGGCCCAUCAGGUAGACGGCGGGGUGACGGCCCACCGUGCCGACAACGGGUAGCCGGGUUGAGAGACCGACCGGCCAGAUUGGGACUGAGACACGGCCCAGACUCCUACGGGAGGCAGCAGUGGGGAAUCUUGCGCAAUGGGGGGAACCCUGACGCAGCGACGCCGCGUGCGGGACGGAGGCCUUCGGGUCGUAAACCGCUUUCAGCAGGGAAGAGUCAAGACUGUACCUGCAGAAGAAGCCCCGGCUAACUACGUGCCAGCAGCCGCGGUAAUACGUAGGGGGCGAGCGUUAUCCGGAUUCAUUGGGCGUAAAGCGCGCGUAGGCGGCCCGGCAGGCCGGGGGUCGAAGCGGGGGGCUCAACCCCCCGAAGCCCCCGGAACCUCCGCGGCUUGGGUCCGGUAGGGGAGGGCGGAACACCCGGUGUAGCGGUGGAAUGCGCAGAUAUCGGGUGGAACACCGGUGGCGAAGGCGGCCCUCUGGGCCGAGACCGACGCUGAGGCGCGAAAGCUGGGGGAGCGAACAGGAUUAGAUACCCUGGUAGUCCCAGCCGUAAACGAUGGACGCUAGGUGUGGGGGGACGAUCCCCCCGUGCCGCAG
Molecule: ribosomal RNA, 690 nt
Filed under: uncultured bacterium
Lineage: Bacteria
Description: partial 16S ribosomal RNA
Rfam family: Bacterial small subunit ribosomal RNA
Source: RNAcentral